AUAAAAGGCGCUGUAGGAAGCAGAGAGAUAGAGACAUCGUCCCGACGGGGGCUCCAUGGGGGGCGGCCCUGGGCCCUUUGCGAUCUCCGGACUUUUGGACUUAGAAAACUUAGAAAACUCAGAAAACUUGGAACAUCCGAUCUCCGUACUUUCGGACUUAGAGAAAUUAGAGCAUCCGAUCUCCCGACUUUUGGACUUAGAAAACUUGGAACAUCCGAUCUCCGUACUUUCGGACUUAGAGAGAUUAGAACAUCCGAUCUCAGUACUUUCGGACUUAGAAAAAUUAGGACAUCCUCUCUCCAACACGCUACAGAGAUGCGUGUCGUAGCCCGUCGGGGCAAAGAAGACUACUGGCUGUGGGACCAUUUGAUGAGAAUAUCCUGGCUGUGGGACCAUUUGAUGAGACCGACCCAACGUGCCCGAGGAGAGAUAGAGCUACCGUCGACACCGGGGAAGCGUAGUGUAGAGAGGAGAGAUAGGGAUUCCCUCUCUUUUCCUCUGUCAACACCGGCGUGGAACGCCAGCGCUGCUCACUUCUCGACGAUACGGAGCGGCCCGUAUCAGAUAGGGGCCAUCGGAGCAACAUUCCAGCGCAGCUCACCCUCCCCAAUCUGAAUCAGUGUGGGGGCCGACGACAAGGGAACAACGGUCUUUCUCUUCACACAGCUGAGGGGAGUGUUGGACGUAGUGUAGAGAGGUGAGAUAUCGGGAAUCGAAAUUAUCGUAGACAAACCCACCAAGAUGUGUUCCGGAUGUAUUUCAUAUCACUUAUUUAGAAGUGUCACUGAUGGCAUUUUAUUAGUCACUAUAUUAUAUGUCUUAACAUGCUUUUUUGAAGGCCUUCACCGCUUGCUGCAAUGUCCCAGAUAUUAAUCCUGCAAAUAAAACUAUAUUCAAACCAUUCCUUUUCAAUCAUUCCAAGGACCUGCUACGGAGGAGUGUAGGUUAGAGCUUCAGUGAACAAACUAACUGUUCUAGUAUAGGCAUCAUGGAUCUAAGAGGUUACCUAGUACAAAGAAAUCAAACAUAUCCCGGGAGUUAGUCAUACCAAACUCCUAAAACAUCUCAGCAAAUUCACCAAGUGCACGGAUCCCAGAGGAGAGCUAGCAUAACAGACGUGAUCGGUCUGCCACAUUCCUGGCUACGGGUUAUGCCCAGGGGUGGGGCACCGAGGUAAGAGGGAUAGGCGUCUGAUACAAGGUAGUUAGGGGCUGAGCGAAUCUCCUCACCAACCUGUUACAACCGUUACGGGAUACAGGUUUCACUAGCAUCGCCAUUUAGGGGGUGGUAGAAUUGACGGAUCUGACAACACACACACACACACACACACACACACAAACACACACUACUCGCUGCAAGUGCAACAUAAAAAGAGGUUUGCUGGUUAGCUAGCGACACGUGUCGCACUGGCCACAAAUAAAGAAAACCACCGUCAACUUUACAUUAAAGGAACGUGCUCGACCGUUCGGGAGCUAUACGUUUCAUAAACACAAAAUAAACCACUCGUUUUGUAUAAAAUUAAGAUAAUUAAUAAAAACGAUGGUGGAGCUCAUAACAUAGAUAUAUAUAUACUGAGUGACUAGAUAUUGCAUUCGGCUUCUAAGCAUGCGUUAACAAUGCCGCCAUCUUGCCGGCGGGAACCACCCACCUGAAUGAAUGUCAUGGGGCAGCGGUCUUUUCAGUCUAAAUCACUCUAAAACGCCUUGUCUUAAGGCAAUAUUAAAGGCACAAACACGCUUGACCGACCCGAUUGAAGAUUUCCUUUAAAAAAAAAGGCGUUUUAGAGUGAUUUAGACUGGGAAAGGACUUCUGUCCCAUCGACGUUCAUUCAUUCAGGUGGGUGGUUACCCCGCGGAAAGAUGGCGGCGGCAUUGACGUAUAUGUUCCACUGAACAGCGCAGCUCAGGCGAUGUCUAGUCAGUAUAUAUAUCUAUGAUAACUUGUGCACUUACCAAGGGGACAGUGAGGUCCGACUGCUGUACCCCCGGGGUGCACGACACAAGUCCACAGGGACGUUGCGAUAAGUGACCAUAGUAAAAUGAAUCGACAGGGAUACGUGAUGUGUGACAAUGGCAAAUGGGAUCAUAUUACAUUUUAUAUUAUCAUAAUAUAUCUUAACUCCGUUACAUAUGCAGGAAAAACCCUGAAUGACUUACCUUCAAGAUAAUUUAGCUGCUCAUUCCUCCAUUACACCUGACCACCGUUGUAAUCUUCUUGAGUUUUGGCGGACAACGAAGCGCAUGCGUCCUGUAUGCGCGUCACAAGGCGCAUGCGCGGAUUCAAAACAGGCGACACUAUUAAAACUUACUUGGUAUUUCUAGGUUCAUGUGCAAUGACUAUGAAACCUUUGAAUAUUAUGUGAAAAUACAUAAUAAAACUUACUCUUCCCACACAGUUUAUAUAUCACAUGAAUGACAUAUAUAGUUUUACUUGAAUAAUUCAAGUUCUCACUGAUACUUAUAAUUACAAAAUAAAAAUUGUGACAGUUAACCUAAUUAAUAUUACUACACCAUAAAAUCAUUUUUUUCAGUGUAGCUUCCGAGUUAUGGGACCCAGACACCCCAGACCAAUGUAGACCUGUC
Molecule: long non-coding RNA, 2582 nt
Filed under: Gadus morhua (Atlantic cod)
Lineage: Eukaryota; Metazoa; Chordata; Actinopteri; Gadiformes; Gadidae
Description: lncRNA (ENSGMOG00000037127.1)
Source: RNAcentral